Molecule: ribosomal RNA, 425 nt
Filed under: uncultured bacterium
Lineage: Bacteria
Description: partial 16S ribosomal RNA
Rfam family: Bacterial small subunit ribosomal RNA
Source: RNAcentral
GUGGGGAAUCUUGCGCAAUGGGCGAAAGCCUGACGCAGCCAUGCCGCGUGAAUGAUGAAGGUCUUAGGAUUGUAAAAUUCUUUCACCGGGGACGAUAAUGACGGUACCCGGAGAAGAAGCCCCGGCUAACUUCGUGCCAGCAGCCGCGGUAAUACGAAGGGGGCUAGCGUUGCUCGGAAUUACUGGGCGUAAAGGGCGCGUAGGCGGACAGUUUAGUCAGAGGUGAAAGCCCAGGGCUCAACCUUGGAAUUGCCUUUGAUACAGGCUGUCUUGAGUACGGGAGAGGUGAGUGGAACUCCGAGUGUAGAGGUGAAAUUCGUAGAUAUUCGGAAGAACACCAGUGGCGAAGGCGACUCACUGGCCCGUUACUGACGCUGAGGCGCGAAAGCGUGGGGAGCAAACAGGAUUAGAAACCCCGGUAGUCC